RNAcentral lists this long non-coding RNA (261 nucleotides) under Salvia miltiorrhiza (redroot sage). Its description in RNAcentral is "long non-coding RNA (SMIL_LNC013962)". The record is from RNAcentral. Lineage: Eukaryota; Viridiplantae; Streptophyta; Magnoliopsida; Lamiales; Lamiaceae.
AUUUAAUAAAUAUUUGUGAUGUCCAUGUUUUGUUUUUGUUUUUUUUACUUUGGGGGAAGAGAGAGCGGUGAAUUUUGAACCCUGAACCUUAUGAUUUAUAGGCAGGAAUUUGCAUCGCUUGAUAUCCUUGUUUUUGUUUGUAUCCCCAUUUGAGGGGUAGGGGAAGUUGACUUCACAUGUCUAUAAUUUUGUCAAAUUAUAAAUCAUUCACAUCGGUGAGGCUCAUCAGACUCAAGUCAGCCACGGUGAUGAGCCUCCCAA